GAUGAACGCUGGCGGCGUGCCUAAUACAUGCAAGUCGAGCGAACGGACGAGAAGCUUGCUUCUCUGAUGUUAGCGGCGGACGGGUGAGUAACACGUGGAUAACCUACCUAUAAGACUGGGAUAACUUCGAGAAACCGGAGCUAAUACCGGAUAAUAUUUUGAACCGCAUGGUUCAAAAGUGAAAGACGGUCUUGCUGUCACUUAUAGAUGGAUCCACGCUGCAUUAGCUAGUUGGUAAGGUAACGGCUUACCAAGGCAACGAUGCAUAGCCGACCUGAGAGGGUGAUCGGCCACACUGGAACUGAGACACGGUCCAGACUCCUACGGGAGGCAGCAGUAGGGAAUCUUCCGCAAUGGGCGAAAGCCUGACGGAGCAACGCCGCGUGAGUGAUGAAGGUCUUCGGAUCGUAAAACUCUGUUAUUAGGGAAGAACAUAUGUGUAAGUAACUGUGCACAUCUUGACGGUACCUAAUCAGAAAGCCACGGCUAACUACGUG
Molecule: ribosomal RNA, 497 nt
Filed under: uncultured bacterium
Lineage: Bacteria
Description: partial 16S ribosomal RNA
Rfam family: Bacterial small subunit ribosomal RNA
Source: RNAcentral